This 107-nucleotide ribosomal RNA is filed under the name Saimiri boliviensis boliviensis (Bolivian squirrel monkey). Lineage: Eukaryota; Metazoa; Chordata; Mammalia; Primates; Cebidae. The record is from RNAcentral.
UUCUACAGCCAUACCACCCUGAACACGCCCAAUCUCGUCUGAUCUCGGAAGCUAAGCAGGGUCGGGCCUGGUUAGUACUUGGAUGGGAGAAAUACUGUCUUUAGCUU